Molecule: ribosomal RNA, 253 nt
Filed under: uncultured bacterium
Lineage: Bacteria
Description: partial 16S ribosomal RNA
Rfam family: Bacterial small subunit ribosomal RNA
Source: RNAcentral
UACAGAGGUCCCAAGCGUUGUUCGGAUUCAUUGGGCGUAAAGGGUGCGUAGGCGGUGAAGUAAGUCUGGUGUGAAAUCCCGGGGCUCAACCCCGGAACUGCACUGGAUACUGCUUUACUAGAGUACUGGAGAGGGAACUGGAAUUUACGGUGUAGCAGUGAAAUGCGUAGAUAUCGUAAGGAAGACCAGUGGCGAAGGCGAAUCUCUGGACAGUUACUGACACUGAGGCACGAAGGCCAGGGGAGCAAACGGG